CCAGUCAACAACAAAAGGACUUGGUGUGUGUGAAAUCCUGCAAGGCAAGCUCCACUUUCAGCACAUUUGCAACAUUAAGGUUGCAUCCAAAUGAUUGUGGGGUUAAUUUGGAUUCUCCGAAAUCUGUAGUUCUACUGGCAGAGAUGCCUAUUGCCUCUGGAGCUGCAGGCAGGGUGGAUGUGGGAGUAGGUGCGAGCACGACAUGGACAGCAGACGGACUGAAGAAGAAGACCAAACCUGCCAACAGGAACUGUGACUCCUAUCUGCAAAGAUAUCAGGAACUCAAAGAGAAGAAUAACAAAAGUAACUUGUGUCAGGACAACACAGAUCUGAGUGAUAACGAGAAUGAUGGUGAGAAGAAUGAUGG
Molecule: long non-coding RNA, 367 nt
Organism: Cottoperca gobio
Lineage: Eukaryota; Metazoa; Chordata; Actinopteri; Perciformes; Bovichtidae
Exons: 3
Source: RefSeq, a predicted model, not a curated record